CAGCCGCCGCGGGAACACGAAGGGUGCAAGCGUUACUCGGAAUUACUGGGCGUAAAGCGUGCGUAGGUGGUGGUUUAAGUCCGUUGUGAAAGCCCUGGGCUCAACCUGGGAAUUGCAGUGGAUACUGGGUCACUAGAGUGUGGUAGAGGAUAGUGGAAUUUCCGGUGUAGCAGUAAAAUGCGUAGAGAUCGGAAGGAACAUCUGUGGCGAAGGCGACUAUCUGGGCCAACACUGACACUGAGGCACGAAAGCGUGGGGAGCAAACAGGAUUAGAUACCCCCGUAGUCCCUGUCUCUUAUAC
RNAcentral lists this ribosomal RNA (301 nucleotides) under uncultured bacterium. RNAcentral describes it as "partial 16S ribosomal RNA". It matches the Rfam family "Bacterial small subunit ribosomal RNA", at positions 509 to 807 of the family's 1533-position model. The record is from RNAcentral.